Gasterosteus aculeatus aculeatus (three-spined stickleback) is the source of this 804-nucleotide long non-coding RNA. Lineage: Eukaryota; Metazoa; Chordata; Actinopteri; Perciformes; Gasterosteidae. The record is from Ensembl.
UUUAAAACAAAACAGCUUUUUUUUCUCUUGUCAGGACACAGUCUGAUGGGCAGUUGUGUUGAAUCGCAAAAGAUCAGGACCCUGAAAAUAGGUCCAUUAGGCUUCGUGUUCGGGUCUGUAAAGAUGCAUUGGAGGGUCUAUUUGCUUCCUGCUCAAGCGAGCCACUCAUACCGGGGGAAAUGGAACGAGGUCAGCAGUGCCAACCGGCUACCUGUCGGGAGCGAGUGUUUACCUGCUCGUGCACCCUCACCUGAUUCUUUUCCCCCUCUGCAAGCCAACCAACUGGGUGUCUGGUUCCCAUUUCCAUUGCUCCGCGGGGUGUCAGAGACGCAUUGGCUGCCGAACAUAGAAACGGAUGGACCAGAAAUGCCCAUGUGUCUCCCUGAUCUGUACCGCUCGAGCCUGAGCAGACAACGGUGGUUGCAGUGGGAAACUCUGGUGUGAUUUAUGAGGAGGUCCUCCUUUCCGCUGUUUGAGUUGCCAUUGUGCACGAUAAUGAACAUGAGGCAUCGUCGGUUCAAAAAUGAAGGUCAAUGGGUUGAUGCGUUAAUUCAUUGUUAAAAGCAUUUAGUUUAGUGAAGGAGAAAGCUGUAUUUACUGUUAUUUCUUUCUGACCCUGUUUUGUGCCCUGAUCUGUUGUGAUUCAUGCAUUAGGAUGCUGGAGUUUGAAAAAGAAUAUUCCAUGUAAAAUAGAUUAUUAUUUAACAAAUGGGUUAUGCACUUAAAGGAUAAGUGACUUUGUAAAUUAAUCGGUUUAAUUGUGACUUCUUGUUUAUGCUUCGGGGGCCCAACUCAAUCUGUGAC